CAGCAGGAAGGUUUGUGCUGGAAAAUUUACAGGGUACACAAGGACUGGGGGGCCUAGAUGCUGUCUAGGUGGGCCUGGACACCUAGAAGGUGACCCCAGGACUGACCAUGGGUACAGAGUCAACUAACUGUUGCACUCCACCUCUGGAUAAGAGAAGAUCACCACUGCUUCACUCCUCUGGUUGGGGUGGUGAACUCCCAGCUGCAAGACUCUGACUAAGGGGUGCUUCGUGAGGAAGCUCCUUGGAAGUCCUGCCUCUCUCUAGGUCCUGGACAGCAUGUGGGUGUGACCAGGGAUUGACCACACUGAGUGUGAUAUGGAUCAGAAGGAUAGAAAAGGCAGCAACGACAAGUGAUUGUCUCUUCCUAAGUUUUCCUGUCUUUUGUUGCCCUUUUAUCUGCAGAGCAUGGUCUAAUAAACAGAGAAGGCUCAGGAGGGUCAGAAACACGGUGUUCGCUGAGUCUGCCUCAUUUCUCAGCCUACUUGCCAAGAAUUCCCAAAAAGGAAGCAUUGGAGGAUCAUUCCAAGGCUUGAGGUCCAGGACUACCCACUUCCCUUGGAAUGGUGUUGCCAUCACUGUUCUGGCACUGGAGAAAGGAUUCUACAUCGUUGGGAGAAAAGAAAAAGGAGAAUUUGGGCUUGCACUGAGAGGAUUACCUUUGGUGGUCUGGAAGUGGUGGUAAGUCCUGGACAAUUCUCACAUUAAUCGUUUUUGCCUGUUUAAAAUGGGAAAAAUAAUGCCUACUCUAUAGGACUGCUAGGAGGCUUAAGUAAGUAUGUGUGCUUGUAAACUCUCCACAGAUGCAUGCUGUCAUUAUGAUCUUUGCUGCACAAGCAUUAUUUAACGUCCUAAGUGUGAUUUUUUAAAUUUCACUCUCACAAAAGAUAGGUUUCCUCUUCAUAAUAAACAUGCGUCUACUUCCCUUUUUGAACGUAAGAUCCCAAACAAAAAGGAAAUUGAUGUCCUUAUAAAAAGGAGCCAAUGCAAGAAGUAUCUAGAAGUAACUUUAGAUGCAGUGUCAAGAAGUUUAUUAGUGACAGUCAUGUACAUAGCACAGUGUAGAGUAAUGCAAAUCUGUGCUUAUACCACCCAUUUAAAAUAAUUUUAGUUAGCACAUGAAUUUGUUGCAUAUAAACAGCACCUUUGACAAGUUAUUUAUUUAAAAGGGUCAGAUUCAGGCAUUGUUUCUAAAGUAGAACUUCAAUGAUAAAAUCUGAAAAUGUUAUUCUUUCAAUUAAAAAAAGUGAGUAGGUGUGUGUGUGUGUGCGUUUAUCACUGGUUUCAUGAGUAUUGCUGAUUCUCAUAAUAGACAGAUUAGAAAAUCUGACCAACUCUGUAUUAAUUAUCUAUUGUUGCACAACAGAUUACUCUAAUACUUAGUUAAAACAACAGACCUUUGUUAGUGUGUGGUUUUUGUGGGUCAGGUACAUAAAAGAGGUUCAGCUGAGUGGUUCUUGUUUGGAAUCUCUUAUGAGUUUUCAGCCAUGCUAUUAACAGGGGUUUUGAUCAUCUGAAGGUUUAACUGGGGCUGAAGAGCCUGCCCCCAAGAUGAGUCACUCUUGUUUAGUGGUUAGCAGGAAACCCCAGCUCCAUGCUGGCUAUUGGCAGGAGGCCUCGGUGUUUCACAAUGUGUACCUCUCCAUAGGAUUGCUUGAGUAUCUUCGCAACAUGGCAACCGGCGUCUCCCACAGGGACUGAUCUAAGAAAGAAUAAGGAAGAAGCCUCAAUGCCUUUUAUGUCUUAAUCAUGAGGUCAAAUACCAUCCCUUCUUCUAUAUUCUGUUUGCUAGAAGCAAGUUACUAAGUACAGCCCAUACUUAAAGGAAGAAGAAUUAGACUCUACUUUUUGAAAGGAGGAGUAUCAAAUAAUUUUUUAACAUGUUGCAAAACCAACAUAAGUUCUUUGGUAUAAAUUGCACUUUUCUAUUGUUGGUAUUCAGAACAAAACAUUUUUCACAAUUGCAAUAGCUACCUAUAUUAUUGGAUUCUCAGAAUACAGAACAUAAAUCUCUUUAUUGGUUAUGAAGAAAAUGAAUUCAGAGGCAUAAGGAGCUUUCUCCAGGUACAGAGAAGUUCAGUGUCCAACUCUAGACUUAGAUCUAGAAUUCUGAUAUAUAAUUUCAUAUGCAGUCAGAUUACAUCUAAAUAAUAAUAGCAAAAACAGGGCUCUUCUACUGUACUGUAAUUUACUUUUCCAACUUUUGGCUACUUACAAGAUCACAAACAUCUGGAUUUAAACUGGAAACAUCUUCUCAAAAAUCCAGAUGUUUCCAAAUAUAGGUGUUUUUUUUUUAAGCUAUCAAAAACCCCUUGGUGAAUGAGUAACUAUGCAUGUUGAAUGGUUAUCCCAUUAAAAAUCUAACUCCCUUUCCCAAUUUAUGUUAUUCUAGGUGGAAAGUUUCUAAUGUGAUCCAGUGUUAAAUUAGGAGUUUGGACUGACUGAGGCAACAAGAUAUAAGAGAUGUCAGAUAGCAAAGUGAGGUGAGAGACAGGACAUCAAGUUGGAAAUUUUGAAAGAAACUCUCCUGAAACCGCACAGCUUCUGUGCCUCUCCUCCAACAUUCCUCACCUAGGCUGAGGUUAAGAAGGGGGAUGUUAGAGUGAGGCAUUUGAAUGUUAGAAAAGCAAUCCCCCCACCGCAAAUAAGGGAACAGCCUCCACACCAGACUGCUUAGAGUUGAUAAAAGACCUCUGUAGGCCAAAGGCGCAAGGAACUCGUACCUGGCUCAUGACUUAUAAGACUUUACCUAUGAGAAUUAGAAAGCUCAUGAAGAGUUCUUGAAUUUUCACUAAGAGGCAGUGAAAUCAUUACUUCCACAGAACAGGUUUAAAGGGAUAGCAGAAAAUGAAAAUAAAGAUACUUUUAUAACUAUCCCUCAUGCAGCCUCUAUGUUUAACACAUGGAUCCACUAAAAUAUAUCACAGACAUUUUCUGCCUUUUAAACAAAGUAUGGUGAGUUAUUAAGAAAAGGUUAAGUUAUUUUCAAUGUUAUCAUGACUAAUGCAAUAAUUAAAAAAACCUUGGAUUUGAAUACUACAUUUUCAAAGUAACUCAAUACAAUGAUGUCCCCAAGGCUUAUGGAGAUCUAUGGGGUUAUUUACCCCAGACUCAUAAUUCUUACAUGUGUGUUUCCAAUUUUCCUGACACGUCAUUUGGUUUCUAUAUUUUCCAUUGUCACUUUCACUAAUUUCUUCAUGCUUCUGUAUAUUAUCUC
Molecule: long non-coding RNA, 3215 nt
Filed under: Pan paniscus (pygmy chimpanzee)
Lineage: Eukaryota; Metazoa; Chordata; Mammalia; Primates; Hominidae
Description: lncRNA (ENSPPAG00000044253.1)
Source: RNAcentral